Molecule: long non-coding RNA, 1362 nt
Organism: Lolium rigidum
Lineage: Eukaryota; Viridiplantae; Streptophyta; Magnoliopsida; Poales; Poaceae
Exons: 3
Source: RefSeq, a predicted model, not a curated record
UACUUUCUACCUAUUCCAUUGUCUUUAAUUGCUUCAACCAGUUCAGUUAUGCUAGCAUUGAUGGCAUCACAAGUUUCAGUUAAGCACAUAUAAUUCUUAUUUGGUAACAGUUGUUCUUAAUAUAUAUCAGUUUCUGUUUUGCGCUUAGUGUGGGCAAGCUUACUGCACAUACAUUACAUGGAGUAAUAAUCAUGCAACCCUCCAUCUCCUGCUUAAUUUAUUCAAAAGUCCAUGUAUCUUUGCGUAUGUUAAUCUUUUAUGUGUCACUACCAGCAGCAUGAAAGAUUUUGUGUGCAAAAAACAUAUACUUACUUCGUAGGUUCGUGCAGCAAAACUGUUUUGCAUUGCUUCUCUUUUAAUAAAAUUGUUCCUUACUUCAUAGCUAUAGGUUCAUACAGUGGUAAAAUUUUCUGCGAGUCGAUUGCCUAUUUUUUGCUAUCCAUUUUAUUCAAUUUCUCAGUCUUGCAAGCAUUUCUAAAGUUCAAUGGUAAAUACAGUAGAACCUCAUGCUUAUAUGAAUAUAGUACAACUCAAUAAUGCCUUCCAGUGUCCAAUAUGCUGAACGGAUGGAGAAUCUUGGGCUGCAUAGCCAUUCAGAUGACAAGCAAGAAUAUGUACAGCACCUUCAUUUACAAAUCUCAUUUCCAUAUCAGACAACAUCAGAUAUAGAAGAGGAUAUCAUCUCUGCAAUUGAAAAGAAGAUAAGGCAGGCCAAAGCAUGGCUACUGCACCAACCAAGAAACAAGUCAACAAAGAGCUCUUCCCACGCAAAUAAGGAUGUUGGCACUCCUCGCAAAACGAAGAUUCACCUAAAAGAACGACUCAGAUCAGCCAAGAACCGAAAGCAAAGGAGAGAAACCGAUGAAGCAAUAAUUUUGUACAGUACUACCAAUCAGUGAGUUAUGUAUAGUAUUAUGGACCUACCAUCUGUUCUACACGAUAAGUACUUGACGUAUUGUAGUAGGAGUAUUAGGUAUCCAUCACCUAACUAUGUAUAAUUGCCCUAAUCAUACUCCCAAUGUUUUUGCAAUACUCUGUUUGAUGCAGCUGAUUGUUCUGGAUGCUCUGUAUAAUAUUAUGAAACUACAUACUGUUCCAACCAACGAGAACGUUCAAAAAUCCUAGGCAUAAACAUUUGCUGGAAGGCUGCAUACAAGUAUCUUGAUCAUGCUUCUUCGCCUCCAUGAUGCACUGUCACAGCUAUUGGCUCUUGUGACUGAUGAGCAGAGUAAUCGGUACUGCAUCAGCAUCCGUGUGAUUGUCGAACCAAAUCAACGGCCUCACCAAGCAAUGAACCGUUUCUGUUCGAUGAUGUAGCGUUUAUUCUAAGCCAUAUUCAGCGCGGCGUGCCGCCGCGCCAGA